This 63-nucleotide transfer RNA is filed under the name Meliboeus sinae. RNAcentral's name for it is "tRNA-Ala". Lineage: Eukaryota; Metazoa; Arthropoda; Insecta; Coleoptera; Buprestidae. The record is from RNAcentral.
AGGAUAAUAGUUAUUGAUAAUAUCUAACUUGCACUUAGAAGGUACUGAUCUCAGUUUAUCUUA